RNAcentral lists this ribosomal RNA (1925 nucleotides) under Clostridioides difficile. RNAcentral's name for it is "bacterial LSU rRNA". The stretch from base 1222 to 1925 matches the Rfam family "Bacterial large subunit ribosomal RNA". The record is from RNAcentral. Lineage: Bacteria; Bacillati; Bacillota; Clostridia; Peptostreptococcales; Peptostreptococcaceae.
ACCAUCCUCCACCAAAAAAAUGCGCGGAUGUGGCGGAAUUGGCAGACGCACUAGACUUAGGAUCUAGCGCCAUUGGCGUGGGGGUUCGACUCCCUUCAUCCGCACCAUUUUUAUUUAAUUUAAUAAACGAGCGGGAAUAGUUCAGUGGUAGAGCGCAACCUUGCCAAGGUUGAAGUCGCGAGUUCGAAUCUCGUUUCCCGCUCCAAAUUUUAUGUUUAUGUUGUAAUGUGGGUGCAUAGCUCAGCUGGAUAGAGCAACGCCCUUCUAAGGCGUGUGUCCGGGGUUCGAAUCCCUGUGCGCUCACCACAUAUAUAUUGGGGAUUAGCCAAGUCGGUAAGGCACAUGACUUUGACUCAUGUAUGCGUAGGUUCGAGUCCUGCAUCCCCAGCCAAACAGUAUGGUCUAUUAGCUCAGUCGGUAGAGCACCUGACUUUUAAUCAGGGUGUCCCGCGUUCGAGUCGCGGAUAGAUCACCAAUGGAGAGGUGUCCGAGUGGUUUAAGGAGCUGGUCUUGAAAACCAGUGACUUCGAAAGGGGCCGUGGGUUCGAAUCCCACCCUCUCCGCCAAAUGCCCAGAUAGCUCAGUCGGUAGAGCAGGGGACUGAAAAUCCCCGUGUCGGUGGUUCGAUUCCGCCUCUGGGCACCAAAAUAUGGCGGUAUAGCUUAGUUGGCUAGAGCGUUCGGUUCAUACCCGAAAGGUCAUAGGUUCGACUCCUAUUACCGCUACUAAAAUUUAAUGUGGGCCAUUAGCUCAGUUGGUUAGAGCGCCCGGCUCAUAACCGGUAGGUCUGGGGUUCGAGUCCCUGAUGGCCCACCACAUUAAAUUAAUUAAUAUAAAUUCGAGGUGUAGCGCAGUUUGGUAGCGCACAUGGUUUGGGACCAUGGGGCCGGGGGUUCGAGUCCCUUCACCUCGACCAAUAUAAGGUGGGUAUAGCUCAGUUGGUUAGAGCGCCAGAUUGUGGCUCUGGAGGUCGUGAGUUCGACUCUCAUUAUCCACCCCAAUUCAUAUGGUCUAUUAGCUCAGUCGGUAGAGCACCUGACUUUUAAUCAGGGUGUCCCGCGUUCGAGUCGCGGAUAGAUCACCAAAAAGGUGGCGACAUAGCCAAGUGGUAAGGCAGUGGACUGCAACUCCUUGAUCCCCAGUUCGAAUCUGGGUGUCGCCUCCAAAAUAUUCCAAGGUAGCUCAACGGUGGAGCAACCGGCUGUUAACCGGUAGGCUGUGGGUUCGAGCCCCACCCUUGGAGCCAAAAAAGCCGAAGUGGCGGAACUGGCAGACGCACAGGACUUAAAAUCCUGCGGGACUUACCUCUCGUACCGGUUCGAUUCCGGUCUUCGGCACUUAUAAAACAAUAUCGCGGAGUGGAGCAGUUGGCAGCUCGUCGGGNGACAUACAGGUCGAGCAAGGAUGAAAAUCGGACUUAGUGAUCCGGUGGUUCUGCGUGGAAGGGCCAUCGCUCAACGGAUAAAAGCUACCCUGGGGAUAACAGGCUUAUCUCCCCCAAGAGUCCACAUCGACGGGGAGGUUUGGCACCUCGAUGUCGGCUCAUCACAUCCUGGGGCUGUAGUAGGUCCCAAGGGUUGGGCUGUUCGCCCAUUAAAGUGGUACGCGAGCUGGGUUCAGAACGUCGUGAGACAGUUCGGUCCCUAUCCGUCGCAGGCGUAGGAAAUUUGAGAAGACCUGUCCUUAGUACGAGAGGACCGGGAUGGACGUACCUCUGGUGUACCAGUUGUCCUGCCAAGGGCAUGGCUGGGUAGCUAUGUACGGAAUGGAUAAGCGCUGAAAGCAUCUAAGCGCGAAGCCAACUUCAAGAUAAGAUUUCCCACCGCAAGGGUAAGACCCCAGAAAGACUAUCUGGUUGAUAGGUCGAAGGUGUAAGUGCAGCAAUGUAUUUAGCUUAUCGAUACUAAUAGGUCGAGGACUUGACC